RNAcentral lists this transfer RNA (68 nucleotides) under Marmota monax (woodchuck). RNAcentral's name for it is "tRNA.Ala". The record is from RNAcentral. Lineage: Eukaryota; Metazoa; Chordata; Mammalia; Rodentia; Sciuridae.
GGAUUGUGGCUCAGCGGUACAGCACUCGACUAGCAAGUGUGAGGCCCUGGGUUUGAUCCUCAGCACCA